GGUGGAAACGCGCCAUAACAGAGGAAUCUGAAAUAUCGCAAGUCAUACUACACGUUAAUAUGAUUUAUAGGCAGAGAUGAGAAGGGCAGAGUUGGAAAGCUAAUGCAAAAAUGUGUUUCUUAUUUUAUAGGUUUGGUCAAGGUACAGUGACCCAAAGUAGGCCAUGUCGUUUGUGAAAGCUGCCUCGGAGAGCUGUUCACCUGUCCGGUGUAGGCCUACAAGAAAAUCUGUGAGGUCAAGCGACAACGGAUGAUGGGCACUUAUGUGCCAUAUAAUCAGAGUCCUUACAGAAACUGUAACUACGCCGAACAGUGGAGAGCCAGCCCAUUGCAGGUAGUACACCCGUUUGCGAAGCCAGCCCAUUGUAGGUAGUACACCUGUUGGCGGAGCCAGCCCAUAGUAGGUAGUAGCCUACAGCCGUUGGCGGAGCCAGCCCCUUGCAGGUAGUACACCCCGGAGCCAGCUCAUUGUGCGUCGUUCUUCCAAGUAGCAACGGUAUUGAUUUAACCAUAUAAAAUCUGGAAUUAGUUGACCAUUUCAACAUAUUUUCCUAUUUUUCAUGGAAACCUAGAUCUUCAAGACCCUGCGUGCCGCUCCAGGUUUUCAAGUAGGCUAUUGCACCUCCAGGAGGCGUGCUAGGAAUUUUCUGGAUCCUGCGAUUGUCCACAAAUGGAAGACUGAUGACUGAUGAGAGUCUUUUCCAGAAGUUACCCCAGGGUGGAAAGAUUGCAAUUUGCAGAGAUAUGCUGGCAGAUUCCCUAGGGCACUUUCUUUAGGGCACAAAGUAUGGCAAUUACAGUUUGAUGCAUAUGGAGAGUUACACCAUUAUAGACCUUCAGCUUGUUCAGGUGAUUCACACUUUAUUUUUUGUCAGGAUUACAACAUGUUGAACCAUGAAUCAGGAUUACUAUGCGUCAUGUUCAUCUCAUCUGCAAUUUUAUGAACUCGCCAGCAGAGCAAUGAGGUAGGUGGUAGUUACCACAUGGAGAAGGAGGUAAUGAAGAUAAACUUAGAUCUUCUGGAGCACAAUGUUUUGGAUGUGGACUACAUAGUUACUGAGUGUCAUCCACAGAUACAAAAGUAUUUUGGGGAACGCAAGGUCAAACUACUACGACGUGUGGCACUUUGAGAAAGCUUGUUGUUUAACAAUGAUCAUGUGUUGACUAUUACUAGAAUCGACUAUGAAAAUAGCAUUGGUUGCAGCCAUAAAUGUCUUUUACUUUAUGUAAUGUAAUUACUUUAUUUCAAUAUAUACUUUUCGAUCAGGUUUGUAGAAGAAACUGGGCAAACAUGCGCAAUCCAAGGACUGAGGUUUUGAAGAAGUGGCUGCGCAGAAGGGCUGCAAGAUUAUAGCCAAAAUGAUUAUCACGAUUAUUUUGAUCAAUAUUGAUAUGUAUAUAUAUAUAUAUAAUAAAUGUUCUCAUUCUGA
Long non-coding RNA from Gadus morhua (Atlantic cod), 1429 nucleotides. RefSeq lists it as uncharacterized. The transcript is spliced from 2 exons. The record is from RefSeq and is a predicted model, not a curated record. NCBI's taxonomy places the organism in Eukaryota, Metazoa, Chordata, Actinopteri, Gadiformes, Gadidae.